Molecule: long non-coding RNA, 2070 nt
Filed under: Olea europaea (common olive)
Lineage: Eukaryota; Viridiplantae; Streptophyta; Magnoliopsida; Lamiales; Oleaceae
Description: long non-coding RNA (OEUR_LNC009966)
Source: RNAcentral
UUGCAUUUUCAAUGUCUCAUUCUAGACCUAAAACUGAAUGUGAAAAGGGCUUGCCGGAGUUGGAUAUUCCGGCAUCCGUAUUACAGCAGAUCAUAAUCCAGAUAUUCGGAGAUGACGAUGAGAGCAAAGAUGUAAAUGAUGGAGGCGUUCUUGAUGAGGGCCAAUACUGUAAAAUCACAUCCUCAUCAUCCCGGAAAAUCUUGCCGGAUUUGGAGAGUUGCAAGCCAAAGAAGAAACGGCGGUAUCGGAGUAUCAACAACCUCUACUUGGCUACCAAGCCAAUGAAACGUUUUGGGUUGCAAAUUUAUAAAGAAUAAUGGUAGUGGUGGAUCCUACAAAAGACGUUAUUUUAAAUCAAUAGGAUAAUAAUGUUACGAUUGUGCUGUGUACAUGGACAUAAUGAUUUACGUGAUGGUUUAUAUACACGUGAUGUGGUGAAAUAUGAUUGGAUCAUAAUUCCUUUAAAAAAAAAAAAAAAACCACAGCACCUACUCCACUCUCUUUUUGACACCACAUUUAUAUGUAAACCAUUAUGUAAUUCUAUUAUGUACAAAUAACAUUAUUUUUAAUGUUAAUUUUCUUACUUUUCGAAUGAGAAUUUUAGUGUGUUCAUUUUGUUUGUUUCAUGAGUAGGACGAAAUGCCAAAAGAAAGCAAAUCGAAGAAGGAAGGACGGCGUAAGAGUAUCAAUAACCUCUACUUGGCUACCAAACCAAUGAAACGUUUUAGGUUGCAUAUUUAUAAAGAAUGAUGUUAGUAAGAGAAAUAAUAGUGGAUUCUAUGAAAGAAGCGAUUCUAGAUCAAUAAGGUAAUGUUGUAAGUCAUAUAAAAUUUGUAAUUAAAAUUAAUUAAGCCAUAUUAUUUUUGAAGAAUGUGUGUUGAAAUAGUAAAUUGAUGAAGAAUGUGUAGUUAAAAAGAAAAAGAAAAAAAAUUGUUCUGCACGAAACAUUAUUUUAAUGAAGAAUAUGUGAUUGAAAAAAAAAAAAAUCAAAAAAAUGCAUUUUAAGUAAAAUGGUAAUCGAUCACCCCCUUAAUUAUUAUUAAAAUUUUAAGCUACACCAAACAGGAGCUAAGGUGAAGCACUCACUGAAGUCCAAUCACUCAUCCACCUGAAUAAAUAAGAUAGGAAAAAACCUAAUUUACCCUCUAAACGUAUAGAUCGAAUCAUCGAAGUUGUGUAAAUAGUAACGUUAUUAUCUUUUUUUAUGAGCUGCAUAUAUACUACUGAGUAUGAAUUUGCCGAAAUUUUACUACGAAUGAAGAGGAAACUCGUGUGAAUACUGAUGGUAUAAAAUGGGCCAAAUCUAUUCGACCCGUAUUUUACUUCCUAUAGGACAUUAUACAGGUAAAUACGAGACUUUAGUUUAGACUAAAAAGUACGAAACCUUUAUCACGAUAUAUUUGUUCUCUGACUAUUUCUCUUGGCUUACAAUUGGGACUCGGUACAUGUUUGAUAGGUAUUUUGAUAUUUUGACCGUUAGAGAUGAAGUGAAUCUCACCUGUUUGAGAAAAAUUCAAAAAUGACGCGGUAUCGGAGUAUCAACAACCUCUACUUGGCUACCAAGCCAAUGAAACGUUUUGGGUUGCAAAUUUAUAAAGAAUAAUGGUAGCGGUGAAUCCUACAAAAGACGUUAUUUUAAAUCAAUAGGAUAAUAAUGUUACGAUUGUGCUGUGUACAUGGACAUAAUGAUUUACGUACUGGUUUAUAUACACGUGAUGUGGUGAAAUAUGAUUGGAUCAUAAUUCUUUCAACCAAAAAAAAAAAGACCUUCUCCACUCCCUUUUUGACACCACAUUUAUAUGUAAACCAUUAUGUAAUUCUAUUAUGUACAAAUAACAUUAUUUUUAAUGUUAAUUUUCUUGCUUUUCGAAUGAGAAUUUUAGUGAGUGCAUUUUGUUUGUUUCAUGAGUAGGACGAAAUGCCAAAAGAAAGCAAAUCGAAGAAGGAAGGACGGCGUAAGAGUAUCAAUAACCUCUACUUGGCUACCAAACCAAUGAAACGUUUUAGGUUGCAAAUUUAUAAAGAACGAUGUUAGUAAGAGAAAUAAUAGUGGAUUCUAUGAAAGACGCG